AGCUUUGCACAGUGGCAGUAUCAUAGCCAAUGAGGCUUAUUUGAGGCGCAAUCAUUGCUAAUUAAAAAAAACAUUUAAAAACACUUCGUAAUUUUGACCUAUUUGUACAUUAA
Molecule: small nuclear RNA, 113 nt
Organism: Oryctolagus cuniculus (rabbit)
Lineage: Eukaryota; Metazoa; Chordata; Mammalia; Lagomorpha; Leporidae
Gene: U4
Rfam family: U4 spliceosomal RNA
About the family: U4 small nuclear RNA (U4 snRNA) is a component of the major U2-dependent spliceosome. The structure of U4 snRNA from yeast and human has been reported.
Source: Ensembl